Non-coding RNA from Lolium perenne, 1237 nucleotides. The record is from RefSeq and is a predicted model, not a curated record. Lineage: Eukaryota; Viridiplantae; Streptophyta; Magnoliopsida; Poales; Poaceae.
AUUCAGAAUAAAGGGGGCUCCUUUUCUGCCCUGAUUUGAUUGGCGUUCGGCUGGGUGGUUCCGGCGGCGCUAGCAUGGUUGCCAUGGCAUGCUUGUUCUCUGGCUGUUGCACCUCUACUUCCAGCAGCAAGGUGGUGCUGUAGUUUUGGCUGCGGCAUAGCACGAGGAGCUGCGGGCUGCUACACCUCUACUUGGAGCAUGAAGGAGGGCUCGAUUGGCUGCUGCCUCUGCACUGGUUUGGCACAUCUGAACGUCGCUGGCAGCUGCUGAUGCUGCCGUUGUCCUGCUAUUAGGUGCGAACACACUCUUUUGUUUAGCAAUCACACAUGGUUGUAGUUCAUACUGGCACCUGUACUAUGAUGCUUUAAAAUAUUUUGUGUCUUGAUUAUUGUACCAGGCGUGGAUCUGCUAGUUAUUGCAUAAUUGUUUCGUCUCAGAUUGGUUCAGGAUGCUCAUUUGUUCAAGUAGCCUGAUAAAGUGAUACUUGUGAACUUAGGAACACUUACUGAUCUAGUUCCGCACACACAACAUUGCCUAUUUGCUUUAUGUGCAUAGUUAAGUGAACAGACGAGGAGGAAGGCUAAAUAAAUAUUGACUUUCUUUUGCGUGUUAAUACUAAAUAAAUAUUGAUUAUGCUAAUCAUGCACCAGUUUGAUGCGGCCCUUUAUUUUGUUUAUGUUUUUGAGAGUUAUUGAUUAGUAGUAGUAGUUUAAUUGAAGUUGGCUGUGUAUUGACUGAUUUCGCGUUGCCACACUGUUAACACCAGGGAGAGAUCAGCCAUGAUCAGUUCUUGAUUCCUUAACCUCUAUGUCGAGCUGGCCGGUUCAGUGGCUUGGCUCCGUCCUGUCUAUCUCUAAGUUUGGAUAGUAUUUUGAACUAGUACUUGUUCUGGUCCUAAAUAAAACCUUUCUCUAAGUUGUAGUUUGUACUGAUGAAGCUAAUAUUCUCGUGCAAAAAAUGUUUGCCAUUGGAGAUAUGCUAGAGAGCAAGGAAACAAGGGUUAUGACAAUGGUAUUAUCUAGGUUCCGUUUUGCUGGUGCUGUUGUGGGUGAUGACGAAGUGGCCUGGACUUGUCGGCUAUGUAAUGUGUAGCAUUCAGCCGAAGUGUGCUGUCCAAAUCAUAACUUGCAGUAAUCUUUUGGUAGAUUCCUUUGAGCAUUUUUGUAAUAUGUGGUGUUAAUCAGGCUGCAUUUUCUCUUUAAUUUAGCAUGUAACUGUUCUGAUUUGUGUAUUUAAA